GAUGAAGAACGCAGUGAAAUGCGAUAAGUAAUGUGAAUUGCAGAAUUCCGUGAAUCAUCGAAUCUUUGAACGCAAAUUGCGCCCGCCAGUAUUCUGGCGGGCAUGCCUGUUCGAGCGUCAUUUCAACCAUCAAGCCCCCGGCUUGUGUUGGGGACCUGCGGCUGCCGCAGGCCCUGAAAUCCAGUGGCGGGCUCGCCGUAGCACCGAGCGUAGUAGCACACUUCUCGCUCCGGUAGCAGCGGCGGGCGCUUGCCGUAAAACCCCCCCCUAAAAUCUCAAGGUUGACCUCGGAUCAGGUAGGAAUACCCGCUGAACUUAAGCAUAUCAAUAAGCGGAGGA
Molecule: unclassified non-coding RNA, 339 nt
Filed under: soil metagenome
Description: partial contains 5.8S ribosomal RNA, internal transcribed spacer 2, and large subunit ribosomal RNA
Rfam family: 5.8S ribosomal RNA (bases 1-120)
Source: RNAcentral